GUGGGGAAUAUUGGACAAUGGGGGAAACCCUGAUCCAGCCAUGCCGCGUGAAUGAUGAAGGCCUUCGGGUUGUAAAGUUCUUUUGGCGGGGACGAUGAUGACGGUACCCGCAGAAUAAGCUCCGGCUAACUUCGUGCCAGCAGCCGCGGUAAUACGAAGGGAGCUAGCGUUGUUCGGAAUUACUGGGCGUAAAGGGCGCGUAGGCGGUCAAGCAAGUCAGAUGUGAAAGCCCUGGGCUCAACCCGGGAACUGCGUUUGAUACUGUUUGGCUUGAAUUCGGUAGAGGUGAGUGGAAUUCCCAGUGUAGAGGUGAAAUUCGUAGAGAUUGGGAAGAACACCAGUGGCGAAGGCGGCUCACUGGACCGACAUUGACGCUGAGGCGCGAAAGCGUGGGGAGCAAACAGGAUUAGAAACCCUGGUAGUCC
RNAcentral lists this ribosomal RNA (425 nucleotides) under uncultured bacterium. Its description in RNAcentral is "partial 16S ribosomal RNA". It matches the Rfam family "Bacterial small subunit ribosomal RNA", at positions 354 to 796 of the family's 1533-position model. The record is from RNAcentral.